This 254-nucleotide ribosomal RNA is filed under the name uncultured bacterium. RNAcentral describes it as "partial 16S ribosomal RNA". It matches the Rfam family "Bacterial small subunit ribosomal RNA", at positions 524 to 776 of the family's 1533-position model. The record is from RNAcentral.
UACAGAGGUCCCAAGCGUUGUUCGGAUUCACUGGGCGUAAAGGGCGCGUAGGUGGUGGCUUAAGCGUGCGGUGAAAGCUCGGGGCUCAACCCCGAGUCGGCCGUGCGAACUGGGCUCACUGGAGCAUAGUAGAGGCAGGUGGAAUUCCGGGUGUAGCGGUGGAAUGCGUAGAGAUCCGGAAGAACACCGGUGGCGAAGGCGGCCUGCUGGGCUAUGGCUGACACUGAGGCGCGACAGCGUGGGGAGCAAACAGG